UACGGAAGGCAGCAGUGGGGAAUAUUGCACAAUGGGCGCAAGCCUGAUGCAGCCAUGCCGCGUGUAUGAAGAAGGCCUUCGGGUUGUAAAGUACUUUCAGUCGUGAGGAAGGUGUUAAGGUUAAUAACCUUAGCAAUUGACGUUAGCGACAGAAGAAGCACCGGCUAACUCCGUGCCAGCAGCCGCGGUAAUACGGAGGGUGCGAGCGUUAAUCGGAAUUACUGGGCGUAAAGGGCACGCAGGCGGUUAAUUAAGUUGGAUGUGAAAUCCCCGGGCUUAACCUGGGAAUGGCAUUCAAGACUGGUUAGCUAGAGUCUUGUAGGAGGGGGUAGAAUUCCAUGUGUAGCGGUGAAAUGCGUAGAGAUGUGGAGGAAUACCGGUGGCGAAGGCGGCCCCUGGGACAAAGACUGACGCUCAUGUGCGAAAGCGUGGGGAGCAAACAGGGAUUAGAUACC
Molecule: ribosomal RNA, 455 nt
Filed under: uncultured bacterium
Lineage: Bacteria
Description: bacterial SSU rRNA
Rfam family: Bacterial small subunit ribosomal RNA
Source: RNAcentral